UAGAAGAAGAAGAAACUGAUGAAGAAACAAAAAUCAAAGCACAAGAGCUAACUGUUCAGAUGAUGCAAAAUCCUCAGGUUCUUGCAGCCCUUCAGGAAAGACUUGAUGUUCUGGUAGAAAUACCAACAGGUUACAUUGAAAGCCUGCGUAGGGCAGUUAGAAGACAAGUGGAUGCUCUCAAAAACCUGCAGGUUAAAUGUGCACAGAUAGAAGCCAAAUUCUAUGAGGAAGCUCACGAUCUUGAAAGGAAGUAUCCUGUUCUCUGUUGGCCUCUAUUUGAUAAGCAAUUUGAGAUUAUUAAUGCAAUUUAUGAACCUACGGAAGAAAAAUGUGAAUGGAAACCAGUUGAAGAUGAGAUUUCAGAGUUGAAAGAAAAGGCCAAGAUUGAAGAUGAGAAAAAAAAAUGAAGAAAAAGAAGACCCCCAAAGGAAUUCCUGAAUUUUGGUUAACGGUUUUUAAGAAUGUUGACUUGCUCAGUGAUACGGUUCAGGAACAUAACCCUAUCCUGAAGCACUUGAAAGAUAUUAAAGUGAAGUUCUCAGAUGCUGGCCAGCCUAUGAGUUUUCUCUUAGAAUUUCACUUUGAGCCCAAUGAGUAUUUUACAAAUGAAGUGCUGACAAAGACAUAUAGGAUGAAGUUAGAACCAGAUGAUUCUGAUCCCUUUUCUUUUGAUGGACCAGAAGUUACAGAUUGUAAGGGUGCCAGACAGAUCGGAAAAAAGGAAAGAAUGUGACUUUGAAAACCAGUAAGAAGCAGAAACACAAGGGAUGUGGAAUAGUUUGUACUGUGACUAGAGCAGUUUCCAAUGACUCUUUCCUUAAUUUUGUUACCCCUCCUGAAGUUCCUGAGAGUGGAGAUCUGGAUGAUGAUGCUGAAGCUAUCCUUGCUGCAGACUUCAAAAUUGGUCACUUUUUACAUGAGUAUAUAAUCCCAAGAUCAGUGUUAUAAUUUACUGGAGAAGCUAUUGAAGAUGAUGAUGAAGAAGGUGAAGAAGCACAUGAGGAAGGGGAAGAAGAAGGAGAUAAGGAAAAUGAUCCGGACUAUGACCCAAAGAAGGAUCAAAACCCAGCAGAGUGCAAGCAGCAGUGAAGCAGGACGUAUGUGGCCUUGAGGAUAAUCUGCACUGUAAUAGGCUA
Molecule: RNA transcript, 1136 nt
Organism: Cebus imitator (Panamanian white-faced capuchin)
Lineage: Eukaryota; Metazoa; Chordata; Mammalia; Primates; Cebidae
Gene name: nucleosome assembly protein 1-like 1
Exons: 2
Source: RefSeq, a predicted model, not a curated record